Molecule: ribosomal RNA, 254 nt
Filed under: uncultured bacterium
Lineage: Bacteria
Description: partial 16S ribosomal RNA
Rfam family: Bacterial small subunit ribosomal RNA
Source: RNAcentral
UACGUAGGGUGCGAGCGUUGUCCGGAAUUAUUGGGCGUAAAGAGCUCGUAGGCGGUGUGUCACGUCGGCCGUGAAAACCUGCAGCUUAACUGUGGGCGUGCGGUCGAUACGGGCAUCACUGGAGUUCGGAAGGGGAGACUGGAAUUCCUGGUGUAGCGGUGAAAUGCGCAGAUAUCAGGAGGAACACCGGGGGCGAAGGCGGGUCUCUGGGCCGAUACUGACGCUGAGGAGCGAAAGCGUGGGUAGCAAACAGG